ACUCCUACGGGAGGCAGCAGUGGGGAAUAUUGCACAAUGGGGGAAACCCUGAUGCAGCCAUGCCGCGUGUGUGAAGAAGGCCUUCGGGUUGUAAAGCACUUUCAGUAGGGAGGAAGGUAGUGUAGUUAACACCUGCACUAUUGACGUUACCUACAAGAAGAAGCACCGGCUAAACUCCGUGCCAAGCAGCCGCGGUAAUACGGAGGGUGCGAGCGUUAAUCGGAAUUACUGGGCGUAAAAGCGCAUGCAGGCGGCCUGUUAAGUCAGAUGUG
RNAcentral lists this ribosomal RNA (272 nucleotides) under uncultured bacterium. RNAcentral's name for it is "partial 16S ribosomal RNA". It matches the Rfam family "Bacterial small subunit ribosomal RNA", at positions 335 to 596 of the family's 1533-position model. The record is from RNAcentral.